Molecule: ribosomal RNA, 492 nt
Filed under: uncultured bacterium
Lineage: Bacteria
Description: partial 16S ribosomal RNA
Rfam family: Bacterial small subunit ribosomal RNA
Source: RNAcentral
AGUGAACGCUGGCGGUAGGCCUAACACAUGCAAGUCGAACGGCAGCACAGUAAGAGCUUGCUCUUACGGGUGGCGAGUGGCGGACGGGUGAGGAAUACAUCGGAAUCUACUUUUUCGUGGGGGAUAACGUAGGGAAACUUACGCUAAUACCGCAUACGACCUACGGGUGAAAGCAUGGGAUCUUCGGACCUUGCGCGAUUGAAUGAGCCGAUGUCGGAUUAGCUAGUUGGCGGGGUAAAGGCCCACCAGGGCGACGAUCCGUAGCUGGUCUGAGAGGAUGAUCAGCCACACGGGAACGGAGACACGGUCCAGACGCCUACGGGAGGCAGCAGUGGGGAAUAUUGGACAAUGGGCGCAAGCCUGAUCCAGCCAUACCGCGUGGGUGAAGAAGGCCUUCGGGUUGUAAAGCCCUUUUGUUGGGAAAGAAAAGCAGCAGGUUAAUACCCCGCUGUUCUGACGGUACCCAAAGAAUAAGCACCGGCUAACUUCGUG